Cinara cedri is the source of this 278-nucleotide non-coding RNA. NCBI's taxonomy places the organism in Eukaryota, Metazoa, Arthropoda, Insecta, Hemiptera, Aphididae. The record is from the annotation of a GenBank genome assembly.
UGUUCGUUUUGAUGAUUUCGAAUAUUGGUCUCGCACCUCGAUACAACCCAAAUAAAGUUGCCCGGAAAGUUCCCUAAUUAACUAUGUUGACAUUAUAUGGCGAUCACUAAUGUAUAUACGUAUACAAAAUAUCAACUUGCGUAACUAAAUUCAACAAAAAAAAUGUUUUCCACUGACUAUUAUCAUUAAACUUAUAAAGAUAUAUCUACUACGUUGAUAGAUUAGGUUAGGCUCCUACGUAGUUAAAUUAUUAGAUAAAUAUAACACAAUAGUUUUUC